RNAcentral lists this long non-coding RNA (2781 nucleotides) under Rattus norvegicus (Norway rat). RNAcentral's name for it is "long non-coding RNA NONRATT033233". Lineage: Eukaryota; Metazoa; Chordata; Mammalia; Rodentia; Muridae. The record is from RNAcentral.
CAGCGCUCUCAACCAUUGAGCCAUCUCUCCAGCCCUACCACGUGGAUUCUCAUGGAUUGAACUCAAGCUUGGUAGCAAAUGCUCUUACCCACAGAACCGUCGUGCCAGCCCAGAGACCCUGACAUUUAAGUAAAAACAAAAACGAAACAAAACAGAAAACAGAACCAACCCAGAAAGCGCUUCCUCUCACUAGAAUGGAAUAGAAACUUCCAUAUUGGGGAAGCCACAGGGUGCCAUGGAGAUGUGCUUUAUUUAGUGAGCCUCUCACUUAGGGUUUCUAUUGAUCUGACCCAAUGCAUGACCAAAAGCAACUUACUGAUCUCUCUUCCUCUUCCACAUCGUAGCCAGUUAUCAAAGGAUGCUGGGUUAGGAACCUGAAGGCAGGGACUGAAGCAGAGGACACAGAAGAACACCGACUCCUUGCAUCUUGAUCAGCCUAGAUUCUUAGACCAAUCAGGACCAUCUCACCAGCCAACACCCUGUCUUUUAUUUUUGAAGUUGGUUUCAUUUUGCCAUGCUGUGGGUCAGGAUGACCUUGAUUUCGAUAUCCCAGCCACCACCUCCUGAGUCCUGGCAUUACAGGUUAGCACCACCACGCCUGUUUUGUUUUUAACGUCCCCAGCAACAUGGACUGAAUGGUAGAGCCCCAUGCAUCAAAUCCUUGUGCUAUACGGGGACAUUGGAUCAAGCUGCAGAACCUGCAUUUGCAUGGUAACCCCGAGUGUGAGGAUGUGGCAGUCAGAGGGACACAGCCAACUUCAGCCCUCAUUCAAGAUGCAGGGGCUCAUUGGAACCGGGUGGACUGGUAGGAAUAGUACAACCAGUGUGCCCUGCCUGACUGCCCCUUUUCUUGUCUCUUCUACUUCAUGAAGUCUUUAAGAGCCUUGACAUUCCGGAAAGCAUCCGGGACUGGACAAUGAGGUUCAAGACAAAGCCAGCUUCAGUGAUGCCGGCCCUCACCAUGGAAGGGAACGCGGACAGAAUUCACCAGCAAUUAAUCAGAUGCGUCUGGUGCACACAGCAGGUGCCUCAUAAGCACCUGAAUGGAUGGACAGUAGCAGACACUGUAGCUCACACCCACUUCAUGCCUUUAGUUUUAUUCCGAGCUGCUCACUGUGGGGUGAUUGGCUUUGUGGUGGGCAAACGGUGAGGGGAUACAACUGGCGUCCUCGAGGAAUGAUCAGUGCUUGCAGAGAGCCUGGAGAGGGACACCAGCCGAUGUUCUCAGAGCCUAGCGUCAUGGUGCACACACAUAAUCCCAACCCUUGAGAGGAUAAGAAGGCAGACCCAAGAGCCUGAGGCCACCUGAGCUGUAUAACAAGAACCAAAGAAGCUACAAAGACAAAGCUCAGCGGAACAGUACUAGCCUAGCAUGCCUGACGCCCUGGAUUCCUAUCCCCCUGCACUGUCAAGAAAAGAGACCCCUGAAAGCCCAUUCCAGCACAUUUCUGUAACAUCACCCAGUUCAAGUGAGGAACCAUUCUCAGUAUCAGGGACUUUUCUAAAAGAAAAAUUUCCUAGGAAAAAUUUGGUCUCCCCGAGAGCUCUCUGUAGCUGGAAACAUUGAUAGACAAGUAGUCUUGUUUAACAGAGCUCCGGCUAGGACUAGCAAGCUCCCCACUUGGGCACCCUUCGGACCUUAGCCCUCUUCUGGGCUGUGGUGGAUAGUCUUCCUGUGGAGCAGAGGAAGACCUGAGCCAGUGAAGUGUAUUUUGACACGGGCAUGGCUGUGUCAAGGAAGCCCAAGGCCUUGGCCCAUGGGACAAUUGACAAAGCCAUCCCUCCUAUGGCUCAUGCUCAAGAGAAAUAGCCAAGCUUUUCUCAGGAAUCUGAGUGUGAGUGGUUAUGGAUGAUUGAUCAAGGUAUGCAAAGACUUGGAACUAUGGCUUCCUUCUCCUGGGUGUUUACAGCCUGAGACUGCUGACUACAGAGACCUCCCAAAGAGACAAGUUAACCUUUGCCCACCCCUUCCCCGUGCUGUACCUAAUUAGCACAUUGGGGAUACAGCUUGCUGUUAGCAGAACCCUUCCUGGUCCGAGCUUUACUGCAUGAGUGUCUGUGUGUCUGUCCUUUCCUCAUUACUAUGGUGCCACUCCUUGCCAGGGUGAUUGGACCCAAGCCAUGAAGGUUGGGUGGGAUUGGAUUAAGAGCCCCAUAGAGAGAUGACGUCUAAUCUUCUGGGCGUGACCCUGUGAGUGUUUCCAGAGAACAAUUAGCACGUGGGUGAGUGAACUAAGAGGGUAGAGACUCUGUGUGAGACUGUGAUGACGCCACAGGCUUUUACAAAUUUGUCCAGAUGUGUAGACUAUAGAACACCAUGAGCGGAGUCUAAUGAACAUCAAGUACAGUGAGUGACAGUGGUGUGCUGUUAUGAGUUCAUCAGUAACAAAUAUAUCAGUCUGAUGAGGACGCUGAUAUGAGGAUGCUACACAUGGGUGGAGGCAAGGAACAUAUGGGAAAUUCCAGUACCCUUUUUUUUUUAAAUUCAAAUUUACUAUCAACAUAAACUUGCUUUAAAAUUGUAGUCUUGGUCUGGAGAGAUGUCUCAGCAGUUAAGAGAGCUGGCUGCUCUCCCAGAAGACCUGGUUUGGUUCCCAGUACCCACACGGUGGCUCACAGCUAACUGUAGCUCCUGUUCCAGGGGAGCUGAUGUCUUCUGAUCUCAGUGAAAGUCAGGCAUGCAUGUGGUGUCCAGACAGGCAUGAGUGCAAAACACCUUAAAAAAAAAAUAGAAUAAUAUCUAAGAACUAAAUAAAAAGAACUGCUCUUGACUCUUAUUGC